AUUGAACGCUGGCGGCAGGCCUAACACAUGCAAGUCGAACGGUAACAGGAAGAAGCUUGCUUCUUUGCUGACGAGUGGCGGACGGGUGAGUAAUGUCUGGGAAACUGCCUGAUGGAGGGGGAUAACUACUGGAAACGGUAGCUAAUACCGCAUAACGUCGCAAGACCAAAGAGGGGGACCUUCGGGCCUCUUGCCAUCGGAUGUGCCCAGAUGGGAUUAGCUAGUAGGUGGGGUAACGGCUCACCUAGGCGACGAUCCCUAGCUGGUCUGAGGGGAUGACCAGCCACACUGGAACUGAGACACGGUCCAGACUCCUACGGGAGGCAGCAGUGGGGAAUAUUGCACAAAGGGCGCAAGCCUGAUGCAGCCAUGCCGCGUGUAUGAAGAAGGCCUUCGGGUUGUAAAGUACUUUCAGCGGGGAGGAAGGGAGUAAAGUUAAUACCUUUACUCAUUGACGUUACCCGCAGAAGAAGCACCGGCUAACUCCGUG
Molecule: ribosomal RNA, 490 nt
Filed under: uncultured bacterium
Lineage: Bacteria
Description: partial 16S ribosomal RNA
Rfam family: Bacterial small subunit ribosomal RNA
Source: RNAcentral